UUGAUCUAAUUUGAUUAGAUCAUAUCCUAAUAUGGGUUAACCAAGAGUUGGCACCUAAUUGGCUUGGUUUGAGUCUAAUUGGAUUAGAUUUGAUAAAUCAUUCAAUCUAGACCGUUAGAUCUUGAUCUACCGUUGGAUGAAGACAUAAUGGUGAAUUGGUUUAACCCAAUUGGAUUGGGUUAGUGGAAGGCUAUCAUAAUUGACCAUUGGAUCUUAAUCCCACCAUUGGAUGAAGACAUAAUGGGUCAAGGGGAUGGCGCCAUGAAGGAGGACCAUUGGAUCAUCCUAGAACCAUUGGAUGAUCACUUAAUUCCUUCCCUUGAUGGCGCCAUGAUUAUUAGCCCUUGGAUCAUAUGGAGAUGCAACAAAAGGUGGAGAAUGAUGGCGUGAUGGGCUGAGGCAUGAUGAAGGAGGUGUGAUAAGCAUUUCAGAAUUUUUACGUGAAGGGAAAAGCGUAAAAGAGAUGUGGCGCCCCUUGGAAAGUUUGGAUAAGGAUGAAUCAUCCUUAUCCACUUAUCAUGAUACGCCUCCCUACUUUGAUGGUGCCCCAUUCAUGAUACAGUUGUUCAUAUGGGAUGCCUCCCUUGGUUCUCACACACCCCUUGAUGCAUGAAAGGAUGCCAUCCUUUCACAUCUAUAUAUAGGGAACCAUUCCACCGUAUUCUUCAUUCCAACUCCACUGUAUUCUCUCUCCCUUAUCCCUUCUUUCUUACAAGGCUUUGUCUCUUUCUGGCAUUGCUUCUAGGAUGUCUUAAUCCAAGACAAGGUGGUCUUCUUUAGGACAAAAGGAUUAGAAGUGAUUUUAGAAAGAAAAAGAAAAAUAGAAAGGAAGAAAAGCAAGCCAUUAGAGUUCUUUAGAAGAAUUCUGCAUUAAGGAUGUCUUUGGAGCUAAAGUCUUGAACCAAGUUUUCGUGUGGAUCACCAUUGGAGGGCGGACACUUGGACACCUCGUGGAGAUCAUUCAUAUUGAAUUAGCAUUAGAGGUAUUCUUCUAUUCCUACAUUUAUAUUUAUAUAUUAUUUGAUUGUUACCAUUAAGGUGAUCUAGGCUUAUAAGGAUUUUAUGUUAAGGGACUUUAUUAAGAAAUUUUUAAAAUUCCUAGCUUCCGCUACCCAUUAUGACAUGUUAAAACCCUUCAAACCCUGUCCUAUGUCUAGUCCCCAAGUCUCACUUGGGAGUUCACUAUAAUUUCUCAUAUUACAACCAGUUGUUUUACAAGCUCACAACCAAACUUGUUGUUUUUACGAGAU
Molecule: long non-coding RNA, 1250 nt
Filed under: Phoenix dactylifera (date palm)
Lineage: Eukaryota; Viridiplantae; Streptophyta; Magnoliopsida; Arecales; Arecaceae
Description: long non-coding RNA (PDAC_LNC011250)
Source: RNAcentral